Molecule: ribosomal RNA, 1337 nt
Filed under: Arnoglossus polyspilus (many-spotted lefteye flounder)
Lineage: Eukaryota; Metazoa; Chordata; Actinopteri; Pleuronectiformes; Bothidae
Description: 16S ribosomal RNA
Rfam family: Bacterial large subunit ribosomal RNA
Source: RNAcentral
AAAACAUUCUUCCCCCUUAGUAUGGGUGACAAAAAAGGGAAUAAGAGCUAUAGAACUAGUACCGCGAGGGAACGCUGAAAGAGAGAUGAAACAGAACAGUAAAGUAAAACAAAGCAGAGCUACCACCUCGUACCUUUUGCAUCAUGAAUUAGCAAGUACACCCAGGCAAGAAGCACCCUAGCCUGACGCCCCGAAACUGGGUGAGCUACUCCAGGGCCGCCUACUGAAGGGCAAACCCGUCUCUGUGGCAAAAGAGUGGGAAGACCCUCGAGUUGAAGUGAUAAACUUACCGAACCCAGUAAUAGCUGGUUGUCUGGAAAGUGUAUGUAAGUUCAGCCCCUUUUAUUCUUUAGUUAAAAGCAGAAUCUGCAAGUCUAAUAUUAAGAAUAAAUGGGAGUUAGUCGAAGGGGGUACAGCCCCUUCGAUGAAGGAAACAACCUUUAAAGGAGGAUAAAGAUUAUAAUACCCAAGAGUUAGCGCCCCAGUAGGCCUAAGAGCAGCCACCUGAAUAGAAAGCGUCAAAGCUUAAGCACACUUUAACCCUAUUAUACCAUUAAACUCAAACAGAAGCCCCAACCUUAAACCAGACCCUCCUACUUGUAGUGGGAGAGAAUAUGCUAGUAUGAGUAAUAAGAGGCCUAAGAAUCUCUCCCCGCACGCGUGUAAGUCGGCAUGGACCACCCACCGACAACUAACGGACCCAAAUAAAGAGGGUAAUGAAGGAUAAGACACUGGAAAAUAACUCACCCUCCCCCGUUAACCCCACACUGGUGUGCAACAGGGAAAGACAAAAGGAAUAGAGAAGGAACUCGGCAAAACCACAAAGCCUCGCCUGUUUACCAAAAACAUCGCCUCUUGCAAAAUUAAGAAUAAGAGGUCCAGCCUGCCCAGUGACAUUUUUUAACGGCCGCGGUAUUUUGACCGUGCUAAGGUAGCGCAAUCACUUGUCUUUUAAAUGAAGACCUGUAUGAAAGGCAUCACGAGGGCUUAACUGUCUCCUCUUUCCAGUCAAUGAAAUUGAUCUCUCCGUGCAGAAGCGGGGAUUUAAACAUAAGACGAGAAGACCCUGUGGAGCUUGAGACGCUAGCGCAGCCCAUGUAAAACACCCAAUGUUCCAGGAAUCAACUGAUGGGGACUGCGCCUUUGUCUUCGGUUGGGGUGACCACGGAGUAAGAAUAACCACCGUGCAGACAGGGAGCAAAUAGGGACAAUUACCCCCACCCACAACUGCCCUCCUCAAAACCAGAGCUCCGGCUCUAGUUAACGAAACUUUCGACUUAAAAUGAUCCGGGAUAACCGAUCAUCGAACCAAGUUACCCCAGGGAUAACAGCGCUAU